Long non-coding RNA from Hemicordylus capensis (graceful crag lizard), 1033 nucleotides. RefSeq lists it as uncharacterized. NCBI's taxonomy places the organism in Eukaryota, Metazoa, Chordata, Lepidosauria, Squamata, Cordylidae. The record is from RefSeq and is a predicted model, not a curated record. The transcript is spliced from 3 exons.
GUUGAACCUGGGACCUUCUGCUUGCAAGCAGAUGCUCUGCCACUGAUCUACAGCGCCAUCCCCUCCUAAGGGGAAUAUCUUUCAGUGCUCACAGGGAUCUUUUCUGCGACCGACCGAAGCUUCCCCUUCCUGAUGCCUCCUCCAUCCAACAGGGAAGAGGAAGCUGCAGUGAGUCCCCAUCCUCUCCAGAGCUCCACCAAGUCAAUGGACCUGCCUUUGUUUGUGUAGCUGGCCACACAACCCAAGGCCAACAUCCUUCAGCCGGAUAAGGACUCCUCAUAGGUCCUCAAAUCCGGCCUGCUGCAGAGUCAACCCCAGACACGCCUCUCGUGUGAUGCAGGCCUGUGUGCAUUGUUGGGUAAACAGCAGGGGUGUGUAGCCAGGAUCGAAGCUGAGAUUGCGGUGUGGAGGGAGGGAGCCUUUAACUCUACUCUCUGCCAUGGUCACCAUCUGGAUUUCCGUCCCUUCCCAGUGGCUGCGAUCUGGCAUAGGGGAAAUGGCGUUCGUUGGCAUCAGGAUCCGCCCAGGCUGCCUAGCCUCCAGACAUGGUUGGACUACAGAUCCCAUCAGUGGCCAAAGCAUCUCUUAGGAUGGGGACCUGGAGCUGAAGAUUCAUCCGUCCAUCCAUCCAUCCCAUUCUGUCUGUCCCUACAAGCCCAUCUAGCCUCACCCAACCACCAGCUGCAUGGACUGUCCUCAAAAACUCACCCAUCACGACCAAGAGCAACAGCAGCCUGGAGCAAGGAAAUCGUCUUGUUUGUCCUCCCAUCUUCGCGGCCCUCCUUCUCCUUCUCGAAUCUGCCUGCUCUCCAUGGCACUAACUUUUAUAUCCUGGACCUGCUGCGGGAGGAGGAGGCACACUGUGGGACUCCCUGCCCUGCCACACCUCAUCAGGCUUACACAAUCGGGCAUUUUUUUGCAUGUGUAAGAAGCAGGGUUACUCACACUUCUUCAAAAAGCAUUCUACAUGCUUUGGCAAUAUAUUAAUAAUAUUGGUCCUGCUGAUUUGGCAAAAAAGCAAAGAUUAAUUGGA